RNAcentral lists this ribosomal RNA (253 nucleotides) under uncultured bacterium. RNAcentral's name for it is "partial 16S ribosomal RNA". It matches the Rfam family "Bacterial small subunit ribosomal RNA", at positions 524 to 776 of the family's 1533-position model. The record is from RNAcentral.
UACGUAGGUGGCAAGCGUUGUCCGGAUUUACUGGGCGUAAAGGGCGCGUAGGCGGCCCGCUAAGUCGAACGUGAAAUCCCCGGGCUCAACCCGGGAACUGCGUCCGAUACUGGUGGGCUCGAAUCCGGGAGAGGGAUGCGGAAUUCCAGGUGUAGCGGUGAAAUGCGUAGAUAUCUGGAGGAACACCGGUGGCGAAGGCGGCAUCCUGGACCGGUAUUGACGCUGAGGCGCGAAAGCCAGGGGAGCAAACGGG